Molecule: long non-coding RNA, 405 nt
Organism: Cebus imitator (Panamanian white-faced capuchin)
Lineage: Eukaryota; Metazoa; Chordata; Mammalia; Primates; Cebidae
Exons: 3
Source: RefSeq, a predicted model, not a curated record
CCUGCCCGUGGAAAUGCUGGACAGCUGAAGCCACGAAGACAAAGGAGAAGAUUAGAGGCAACUGAGACCUAACCAAGUCACGAACCUGGAAGAUGAAAACAAAACUACUUGUCAUUCACUCUUAAUCUAUUUGCCUUGGAUGGAGUUCACUGCAACCCUGGCUCCAUCGAUUUCCUUCCCAUCCCCAGCUCGAGAAGAAACCCUGAUUUCUAAGCUGAUAAGCACAUGCCGUUCUCAUGAUUAGAGUUACUCAGCAUAGCCAGGGAAGUAUGCUGCUCUGGUUGUCACUUGGAGCCAUGUUUGCUGCGAUGAAGGGAAGCAGCUCUCAGAGGGAGCUGCCACUGAGGAGGGCAGAAGGGAGUAGUAGAGACAACCUAGGCUCUCAUGGCAUCGUUAUGUUCUUGG